AAGCACUAUUCCUCCUGUCUAUACUUCACCUUUGUUCCAGAGUUUUGCAUAAGUUUUCAAAAUAAAACUCAGAGUUCCCAGCAAUGAUUCUCUCAAGUCUCUCUAUAUGUGGUAUUUGUGGAUCCUUACCAAAAAUGUCACUUACCUAUAGCUAAUGGAAUAUUUAAGUGGAGCUCAUAGGAGUGAAAAACAGCUCAUACAUAUGUUGUCUAAUCGAGCUAUGGAUCCGAAGGAACUCAGCAUAUAAUUAAAUCAAGAUGUGCAUGUGUGGUGGAGUAAAUGAUAGUGAUGGUAAAAAUGUAUGAGUGAUAAUAAAACUUACUUCCCAUUGCUCCUCAUAUUGCUAUCUCUCCUCUUCUUUGAUCUUUGCUUUUGGAGAGCAUGGGCUAUCUUUUUCUCUUUUCUCUUUUUUCAGGUGGGUAGUAGAUACCCCUAAUUCUACUGUCGGACACUUGUCCAUUUUUUUCUGCUCAAGUGGGUAUCUUUGUACCCCUAAUUCUACUCUGGACACUUGUCUAUUUUUACCUCUCGUCUCACUCUUUUUUUUCUUUUCGAGGUUCCGGGCACUUGCCCCUUUUUAUUUCCUCAUAUAUUUUUGCACAACCCAUGCCUCUUCUGCAUUGAAUCUUUUUAGAGAGAGAAUAAUAAUACUUGGGACAGUGAAUGAUAAUAAUACUUUUAGCAAUUUUAAUGAAUGGUGGUUGAUGGUGUAGUGGAUGUGUGCAAGUGAAUAUCUUAACUCAACCACAUGAAAAGCUCCUAAGGGUCUACACAGCUCUAUCAAACUCAAUGUAAAUAUAAGUAGGAAAAGAUGUUAUAGCAAGUAUGGUUGUGGUAGGAAUUUUGUCAUGCUAGGAACUCAUCAUGUGAUUUGUAAGUUUUCAAAAUAAAUCUCUAGAACUUAGUGUAGUAGGAACAAGAUAAACAGUAGCUCAAACUUUAUAUCAUGCCUUUCUCUUACCUAGACUUUAGUUUUAUGUUUCCCAUAAAUAAUAAAUUUCAGUUUUAGUAAUUCUUGGAAGAACUGUAAUAUAAAAGCUAGAUACUUGAAAGUAAGCAAACAGAGCAACUGUUCAUCAUUUCCAUCAUGCAUCUUUUUGGUCUUUUUAUUUUUUUAGAGAUUAAACUUAGCAGAAAAAAUAAAGCACACUUAUCUACACACUCUUUUUAUUUUGUUUUUCAUGUUUAUAGAAUGCAGUAAUUUAAAGCAAGAAAAUAUUUAUUGGGUUUUCUAAGUUUUUUCUCUUUAAGAUAAAUAAAACACUAAAAUAGAAAAGAAUGAAUAAGAAAAGCAAAUAAAAACUUACUUGAUAAAAUGGGGAGGAAUUCCCCCAAGCUGGAUGUGGUUGUCGGUCUUACCCAAUGUUCCAGAAUCGCAUCAUGGUGGUGAUGUUGUCGUUCAUUGUCGUGGUGUCUUGUCUUAGUUCUUGUAUUGCAGUGGCGUGGUACUGGUUCCAUUGCUGUUCUAGGAGUCGUCCAUGUUCCGCUUGCGUAUUCUGGAUGUCGAGGAGGGUGUUGUCGGUACGGGUGAAGAAAGCGCCGGCCUCUUGGUAGUAGUCGUUCGUGAAAGCAUAAAAGGCAUCGGAGUACCGUCUGUAACACCCCAGUGUUAUGGUUGCAUUGAUCAUGUGCAUAGCAUAGGCAUUAUCAUCUACUCAAAGCAUAUCAUGAUCAUCAUCUAUCUUGAGCCAUGUCAUUCUAUGCAAAAUGUGAUUUAAAUUGCUUAAAUAGGCUU
This 1735-nucleotide long non-coding RNA is filed under the name Sorghum bicolor (sorghum). Its description in RNAcentral is "long non-coding RNA (SBIC_LNC010437)". The record is from RNAcentral. Lineage: Eukaryota; Viridiplantae; Streptophyta; Magnoliopsida; Poales; Poaceae.